GUCGAGCGGCAAGUUGAGUAGUAAUACUUAACCUAGAGCGGCGCACGGGUGCGUAACGCGUAUGCAACCUACCUUUUACUGGGGGAUAGCCCGGAGAAAUCUGGAUUAAUACCCCAUGGUAUCUACGAAUCGAAUGUUUUGUAGCUUAAAGAUUUAUCGGUAAAAGAUGGGCAUGCGUCUGAUUAGCUAGUUGGCGGGGUAACGGCCCACCAAGGCGACGAUCAGUAGGGGUUCUGAGAGGAAGGUCCCCCACACUGGCACUGAGAUACGGGCCAGACUCCUACGGGAGGCAGCAGUAGGGAAUAUUGGGCAAUGGUCGCAAGACUGACCCAGCCAUGCCGCGUGCAGGAAGACGGCCCUCUGGGUUGUAAACUGCUUUUAUCUGGGAAGAAAAAGUCCAUGCGUGGAAAAUUGCCGGUACCAGAUGAAUAAGCACCGGCUAACUCCGUGCCAGCAGCCGCGGUAAUACGGAGGCUGCAAGCGUUGUCCGGAUUUAUUGGGUUUAAAGGGUGCGUAGGCGGCUGAAUAAGUCAGCGGUGAAAGACUUCGGCUUAACCGGAGCAGUGCCGUUGAUACUGUUUGGCUUGAGUGUUGGAGGGGUACAUGGAAUUGAUGGUGUAGCGGUGAAAUGCAUAGAUACCAUCAGGAACACCGAUAGCGAAGGCAUUGUACUGGCCAACAACUGACGCUGAGGCACGAAAGUGUGGGGAUCGAACAGGAUUAGAUACCCUGGUAGUCCACACUGUAAACGAUGAUUACUCGCUGUUAUGGUGUAUACUGUA
RNAcentral lists this ribosomal RNA (782 nucleotides) under uncultured Bacteroidota bacterium. RNAcentral's name for it is "bacterial SSU rRNA". It matches the Rfam family "Bacterial small subunit ribosomal RNA", at positions 61 to 842 of the family's 1533-position model. The record is from RNAcentral. Lineage: Bacteria; Pseudomonadati; Bacteroidota.